UGUUUAUUAAUUUAAGAUUAUGGAUAUCCUUAAGUGGGAGGCCCCUGGUGCCCCUCCAUCCCCAUGAGGGGGUGGGACGGGGGCCACCAUCCUUGCGGGGCCGCUGGUGAAAUACCACUACUCUUAUCGUAUUUUUCACUGACCUGGUGGGGGAGGGGGGCAAGCCCUGAGGGUCUCACCUGGGGGCGGGGGGCAACCCUAUCAAAUGGUAAUGCAGGUGUCCUAAGGCGAGCUCAGGGAGGACAAAAACCUCCCCUGCAACAGAAGGGCAAAAGCUCGCUUGACCUUGAUUUUCAGUACGAAUACAGACCGUGAAAGCGGGGCCUCACAAUCCUUCUGACCUUUUGGGUUUUAAGCAGGAGGUGUCAGAAAAGUAA
Molecule: non-coding RNA, 377 nt
Filed under: Canis lupus dingo (dingo)
Lineage: Eukaryota; Metazoa; Chordata; Mammalia; Carnivora; Canidae
Description: Eukaryotic large subunit ribosomal RNA
Rfam family: Eukaryotic large subunit ribosomal RNA
Source: Rfam by way of RNAcentral